RNAcentral lists this ribosomal RNA (430 nucleotides) under Eptatretus goslinei. RNAcentral's name for it is "partial large subunit ribosomal RNA". It matches the Rfam family "Bacterial large subunit ribosomal RNA", at positions 1965 to 2568 of the family's 2925-position model. The record is from RNAcentral. Lineage: Eukaryota; Metazoa; Chordata; Myxini; Myxiniformes; Myxinidae.
UCAAUUGUCUAUUAAUUAUAGACUAGAAUGAAUGGAUUAACGAAAGCCAGACUGUCUCCUAAUUUUUAUCAAUGAAAUUAUCCUUUCUGUUCAAAGACAGAAAUUCUUUUAUAAGACGAAAAGACCCUAAAAGCUUCAAAUAUUAAAUUAACCUCUCUACUAAAACAAAUAAAGAAAAAUACUAAUUUUUAAAAUUUGGUUGGGGCAACCAUUGAAUAAAAAUAUCAUCAAUAAUCAAACGAAAAUUCUCUAAAAAUAGAGUAACAACUCAAUUAAAUAAGAAACUUAUUAAAAUGACCCAGAACCAUCUGAUCAAUGAACAAGUUACUUUAGGGAUAACAGCGCUAUUUCUUUUUAAAGUUCACAUCGACAAAGAAGCUUACGACCUCGAUGUUGGAUUAAGAUACCCAAGUGGUGCAAAAGCUACUAA